GUGCUUAACACAUGCAAGUCGAGCGGUAAGGCCUUUCGGGGUACACGAGCGGCGAACGGGUGAGUAACACGUGGGUGAUCUGCCCUGCACUCUGGGAUAAGCCUGGGAAACUGGGUCUAAUACUGGAUAUGACCUGCUCUCGCAUGGGGGUGGGUGGAAAGAUUUAUCGGUGCAGGAUGGGCCCGCGGCCUAUCAGCUUGUUGGUGGGGUAAUGGCCUACCAAGGCGACGACGGGUAGCCGACCUGAGAGGGUGACCGGCCACACUGGGACUGAGACACGGCCCAGACUCCUACGGGAGGCAGCAGUGGGGAAUAUUGCACAAUGGGCGGAAGCCUGAUGCAGCGACGCCGCGUGAGGGAUGAAGGCCUUCGGGUUGUAAACCUCUUUCAGCAGGGACGAAGCGUGAGUGACGGUACCUGCAGAAG
RNAcentral lists this ribosomal RNA (426 nucleotides) under actinobacterium BAL209. RNAcentral's name for it is "bacterial SSU rRNA". It matches the Rfam family "Bacterial small subunit ribosomal RNA", at positions 44 to 487 of the family's 1533-position model. Lineage: Bacteria; Bacillati; Actinomycetota; Actinomycetes. The record is from RNAcentral.